This 69-nucleotide transfer RNA is filed under the name Hypogeophis brevis (Mahe caecilian). Its description in RNAcentral is "Grandisonia brevis (Mahe caecilian) tRNA-Tyr". It matches the Rfam family "tRNA". Rfam says of the family: Transfer RNA (tRNA) molecules are approximately 80 nucleotides in length. Their secondary structure includes four short double-helical elements and three loops (D, anti-codon, and T loops). Further hydrogen bonds mediate the characteristic L-shaped molecular structure. tRNAs have two regions of fundamental functional importance: the anti-codon, which is responsible for specific mRNA codon recognition, and the 3' end, to which the tRNAs corresponding amino acid is attached (by aminoacyl-tRNA synthetases). tRNAs cope with the degeneracy of the genetic code in two manners: having more than one tRNA (with a specific anti-codon) for a particular amino acid; and 'wobble' base-pairing, i.e. permitting non-standard base-pairing at the 3rd anti-codon position. Lineage: Eukaryota; Metazoa; Chordata; Amphibia; Gymnophiona; Indotyphlidae. The record is from RNAcentral.
GGUAGAGUGGCUGAAUGUUAAGCGGCGGAUUGUAGUCCCGAUGAAGAAGGUUCAAAUCCUUUUUUUACC